AUGGCGCGAGGGAAUGGUAAUUAAGAGCGAUUGGGACAGACGUGUUGUGAGAUAUCGGGAUUUUGCGCGUAUCUUGAUAAAUGGUUUGAUUGGUUUAAAGGAGCAAACAGGUUAGAAUAUAGUGUCUAGGGCAAAGGAGACAUGACGAACUGGAAAUGAAAAAUCUUUGAAUGGAAAACUUCUUUCAGUAGAUUUAGUGACUAAUUUAGCUUUUCUUGAUUGUUUGCUGAUGUUAUAAUAUCUUGAUAUGUACAUAUAUGGUUUGGUUGGUGAAGAGGUUAAGAAAUGAAGAGGUUAGAAUAUAGAGUCUUGUGCAAAAGGAAUAAGUUGUUUAUUGAUGCAAUCAGUUUAAGUGCUUGGCUUUCUCGUAUAUUUGUUAGAAGAUGAGGAGAAUGUUGUAAGUUAUAGAGAAAUGGAAGAACAUCAUUUUGAAAGGUUAAUAAGAGAAGUAGAAUUCAAUUGAUUAAUGCACCUGUGGGAUUGAUCAAUCAAGUUAGCCUUCACAUUGAUAACGUGAUCAAGGAGUGUCAAUCGAUCGGCGCCUCCUGGAAACGCUUUUUGAUCAAACAGAACUUGAUAUGCUUCGAUUUAUUCGAUAUGGAAUAUCGAAUAUCUCUUUGAUUUCUGUGAUGGCGAAUCUGAUAAAGAUGCAUGUGCAUAAAUAAUUUCGAUGCUUGAGAAUGAUUGCUUCAAAAAUUCGCCGUAUCCCACAAUAAAAAGAAAGAUAAGCAAAUAGAACAUGAUUAUGAAAUUUCCUAUAUCGAUUGUGAGGAAAAUAAAAAUAAAAGUUUGAAUUACACAAGUAAAUUUUUAAUGGAAGGGUUAGCAGGUUUUACGAGAUGAAUCGAAGACCUUAAACGUUUUAUGUAUCGGCGAUCACGAUGGUCGAUAUUCAUCAUUCAUGAAUAAUUCAGAAAUGAAAUGCUUACAGUUACACGGGACACGUGACGGACUCCUCCCUUGGACAAAACACUGGAAUGGGUUUGCAGUGUUUUAUUUCGCUUACGGGAUCGACGUUUGACCCGAAUCUUUUCUCAUUUAUAUUUCGUUUCUACUUCUAACGUUUUUAUUAUGUAAAUAACUAAUUGUAAGUAGGAGAAAAGAAGAAGAAGAAUAUAGCAGUAAGUAUUUGCAUAUUUGCAUUUGGAGAAGAAUUUAAUUGUAAAAGUUCUUGAUAUCCUAAUCUCGCGAAUUCAACAUUUUCCAAACGAAACGUUAUAUCUUUCAGAUAACCUUAAUACUCUUGAAUAAUAUGUAAAACUGUUAAAGUUUCUCAAAAUUCUAGGCGUCGCGGGUAUCCUCUUUGUAACUGUCUUGAUAAAUCCUACGGAGAGAAAGUCAACCUUUAUGUAAAUCUGAAGUCACUACGUAUGGCGCAUGGAGGAUCAAGGUGCGCCUAUAUAGCUAAGUUCUGUAUGAGUUUUGUAACUUUCAAAUCUUUGGGUGACCUUUUUAAAAUUCUUUUGUUUCGUGAGCAUAAAAUUCUCUUGUCAUGAUGUUCGUUAUUUGGAAUUGAUAUUUCACUUGAGAUUUGUAUUUUAAUAAUUUUCAUGUUUAAAUAAUUUGAAUGUUUAAAUUGCCUAGGAUUUUAGAAAUUAGAAAUUACAAAACUUAAAGAGAGUGAAAAUUAAAAAUUAAGCAAUUCUAAACGAAAUCUAAUCGCUUAGAAUACAUAUGUAUAUGUAUGUAAAGUAUUGCAAUAUGUAAAUUAUGCAACAUACAGGGUGUCCCAAUGUUUUGCAGCGAAAUGUCAGUACAUUCUAUAGGUCAAAGCAAGAAAAAUAUGUCAUAUAAAUAUAUGUCUUUAUUACUAUCUACAUCUAGCAAUGGUCAAAAGGUAUCAUAAUACUUCUACAACUCUAACUACAAUUCUAUUUUGAAAUAUUCAUCAUUUUGACAAAAAAUUACUUUUUGAAGUUCUUGUUUAUUAAUGAUCGAAGUUGGAAAACGAAGAAUUUCAUAUAUCAUUUUUUUUUUUUUUUUUUUUUUGUUAUAAUUCUUUGACAGUGCUUUCAAUGACAUAUGUUUGCAUAAUAUUUUGUUCUUAUCUUGACAUAUAGGAUGUACUGACAAUGUUUGGCUGCAAAUAACUCAGACAUUGUAUGUAAAAGAUUUUACACAAUAAUUAUUUUUAUAGGUAGUGGAAACACAGAUCACAUCAUGAACAUCAUGGUCACAUUACCGUUAAUUUAAUUUCUGCAACUUAACCUAAAAAAAAAAUGGACAUUUCAACCACCACAUACAAGAAUAUAUAAUCGAUAAAUAUUAUUAGAUAUACCUUGAGUUAAAAAUAAGCUCUAACGGCCAGAGUACAAAGAUAAAAUCAGGGACUAUAGUUAUGUCAGUAUUCUAAGCAUGUCGAA
Long non-coding RNA from Bombus pyrosoma, 2363 nucleotides. RefSeq lists it as uncharacterized. The transcript is spliced from 3 exons. Lineage: Eukaryota; Metazoa; Arthropoda; Insecta; Hymenoptera; Apidae. The record is from RefSeq and is a predicted model, not a curated record.